RNAcentral lists this ribosomal RNA (347 nucleotides) under Acantholichen pannarioides. Its description in RNAcentral is "SSU rRNA". It matches the Rfam family "Eukaryotic small subunit ribosomal RNA", at positions 594 to 945 of the family's 1831-position model. The record is from RNAcentral. Lineage: Eukaryota; Fungi; Basidiomycota; Agaricomycetes; Agaricales; Hygrophoraceae.
AUAGCGUAUAUUAAAGUUGUUGCAGUUAAAAAGCUCGUAGUUGAACCUUGGGCCUGGCUGGCCGGUCCGCCUCACCGCGUGCACUGGUCCGGCCGGGCCUUUCCUUCUGGGGAACCGCAUGCCCUUCACUGGGUGUGUCGGGGAUCCAGGACUUUUACUUUGAAAAAAUUAGAGUGUUCAAAGCAGGCCUAUGCUCGAAUACAUUAGCAUGGAAUAAUAGAAUAGGACGUUGUGGUUCUAUUUUGUUGGUUUCUAGAGUCGCCGUAAUGAUUAAUAGGGAUAGUUGGGGGCAUUGGUAUUGAGUCGCUAGAGGUGAAAUUCUUGGAUUGACUCAAGACCAACUAUUG